GAUGAAGAACGUAGCGAAAUGCGAUAAGUAGUGUGAAUUGCAGAAUUCAGUGAAUCAUCGAAUCUUUGAACGCACAUUGCGCCCCUUGGUAUCCCGAGGGGCAUGCCUGUUCGAGCGUCAUUUCACCACUCAAGCCUGGCUUGGUGUUGGGCGACGUCCCCUUUGGGGACGCGCCUCGAAACGCUCGGCGGCGUGGCACCGGCUUUAAGCGUAGCAGAAUCUUUCGCUUUGGAAGUCGGGGCCCCGUCUGCCGGAAGACCUACUCGCAAGGUUGACCUCGGAUCAGGCAGGGAUACCCGCUGAACUUAAUCAUAUCAAUAAGCGGAGGA
This 329-nucleotide unclassified non-coding RNA is filed under the name soil metagenome. RNAcentral describes it as "partial contains 5.8S ribosomal RNA, internal transcribed spacer 2, and large subunit ribosomal RNA". The stretch from base 1 to 120 matches the Rfam family "5.8S ribosomal RNA", at positions 35 to 154 of the family's 154-position model. The record is from RNAcentral.